Molecule: ribosomal RNA, 764 nt
Filed under: Staphylococcus aureus
Lineage: Bacteria; Bacillati; Bacillota; Bacilli; Caryophanales; Staphylococcaceae
Description: partial 23S ribosomal RNA
Rfam family: Bacterial large subunit ribosomal RNA
Source: RNAcentral
CGUUUAGUAUUUGGUCGUAGACCCGAAACCAGGUGAUCUACCCUUGGUCAGGUUGAAGUUCAGGUAACACUGAAUGGAGGACCGAACCGACUUACGUUGAAAAGUGAGCGGAUGAACUGAGGGUAGCGGAGAAAUUCCAAUCGAACCUGGAGAUAGCUGGUUCUCUCCGAAAUAGCUUUAGGGCUAGCCUCAAGUGAUGAUUAUUGGAGGUAGAGCACUGUUUGGACGAGGGGCCCCUCUCGGGUUACCGAAUUCAGACAAACUCCGAAUGCCAAUUAAUUUAACUUGGGAGUCAGAACAUGGGUGAUAAGGUCCGUGUUCGAAAGGGAAACAGCCCAGACCACCAGCUAAGGUCCCAAAAUAUAUGUUAAGUGGAAAAGGAUGUGGCGUUGCCCAGACAACUAGGAUGUUGGCUUAGAAGCAGCCAUCAUUUAAAGAGUGCGUAAUAGCUCACUAGUCGAGUGACACUGCGCCGAAAAUGUACCGGGGCUAAACAUAUUACCGAAGCUGUGGAUUGUCCUUUGGACAAUGGUAGGAGAGCGUUCUAAGGGCGUUGAAGCAUGAUCGUAAGGACAUGUGGAGCGCUUAGAAGUGAGAAUGCCGGUGUGAGUAGCGAAAGACGGGUGAGAAUCCCGUCCACCGAUUGACUAAGGUUUCCAGAGGAAGGCUCGUCCGCUCUGGGUUAGUCGGGUCCUAAGCUGAGGCCGACAGGCGUAGGCGAUGGAUAACAGGUUGAUAUUCCUGUACCACCUAUAAUCGUUUUA